RNAcentral lists this ribosomal RNA (553 nucleotides) under uncultured bacterium. Its description in RNAcentral is "bacterial SSU rRNA". It matches the Rfam family "Bacterial small subunit ribosomal RNA", at positions 353 to 896 of the family's 1533-position model. The record is from RNAcentral.
AGUGGGGAAUUUUGCGCAAUGGGGGAAACCCUGACGCAGCAACGCCGCGUGAGUGAUGAAGGCUUUCGGGUCGUAAAGCUCUGUCAGAGGGGAAGAAACUCUUGUGGUCGAACAGGCCACAGGAUUGACGGUACCCUCAAAGGAAGCACCGGCUAACUCCGUGCCAGCAGCCGCGGUAAUACGGAGGGUGCGAGCGUUGUUCGGAAUUAUUGGGCGUAAAGCGCGUGCAGGCGGCCUGUUAAGUCUGAUGUGAAAGCCCGGGGCUCAACCCCGGAAGUGCAUUGGAUACUGGCAGGCUUGAGUACGGGAGAGGGAAGUGGAAUUCCGAGUGUAGGGGUGAAAUCCGUAGAUAUUCGGAGGAACACCGGUGGCGAAGGCGGCUUCCUGGACCGAUACUGACGCUGAGACGCGAAAGCGUGGGGAGCAAACAGGAUUAGAUACCCUGGUAGUCCACGCCGUAAACGAUGGGUACUAGGUGUUGCGGGUAUUUACCCCUGCAGUGCCGAAGCUAACGCAUUAAGUACCCCGCCUGGGGAGUACGGCCGCAAGGCUA